Molecule: ribosomal RNA, 236 nt
Filed under: uncultured Candidatus Saccharibacteria bacterium
Lineage: Bacteria; Candidatus Saccharimonadota
Description: partial 16S ribosomal RNA
Rfam family: Bacterial small subunit ribosomal RNA
Source: RNAcentral
UAAGUAGGUAGUGAAAUGACGGGGGCUCAACCUCGUGUCCAUUACCUAAACUGCUCAGCUAGAGUAUGAGAGAGGUGGCUGGAAUUUCUAGUGUAGGAGUGAAAUCCGUAGAUAUUAGAAGGAACACCGAUGGCGUAGGCAGGCCACUGGCUCAUUACUGACGCUCAGGCACGAAAGCGUGGGGAGCGACCGGGAUUAGAUACCCCGUUAGUCCACGCCGUAAACGAUGGAUGCUA